ACAAUUGCCUGUAUUAUCCUAUAUGGUAACAUGCUGUGCAGGUUUGUAUUCUACAAGCAAUAGGCUAUACCUUAUAACCUAGGUGUGUUCUAAGCUAUACCAUACAGGUUUAUGUAAGUACACUGUGAAAUCUGCAUGGCAAACAUCAUUGCCUUAUGAUACAUUUCUCAAAUUUUCAGAACAUAUCCCUGUUGUUUAGCAGCACGUGAAUGUAUUUGAUUUAUUGUCUUGAUGUCCCUUUGCUUUCCCCAUGUGUUACCAUCAACUGCCUAAUGAAACAGCCUGGGAUUAUGUAAUGACUAACUUAGUGCUUUGAGUUUAAUUCUUUUUCAGCCACUGUGGUAUGUUGAUUACUAUAUUAAUAAUGUGUCUCCUUUAUGUGUUUUUAAAUAGUUACUUGGUCAUGAACUAUUUAUAAGCUUUGGAAACAUGAUUUCAUUUAUUCUGCAGGAUAACUUCAGGAAGUGGGUAUUAAUUCUCACUGUAUAAGUGAAGACAUUAAGCACCAGAGUUUAAGUAGCUUGAUCCACUGAAAGAGAUUCAACUGUGUGGAACCUAUGCCGCGGAGAAUUGCUUUCUGCCAUUGUUAUUGUCCAGCAGUUGCCGAAUAGCUCUGACCUGAGCAAAGCAGUGAAACGCGGUGCUGCUGAGUGGGUUGCCACUGCACCCUUUUCAACUACUCUAGUCUUGUGGAGAAAACACCCCUUCUAAAGUUUUUCUUCAUUGAAUACUGUCCCGCAGCUCCAGGGUACCAUAUAGAGUUUUCUUGUAUUUUAGAGUUACUGUUUUAUCAAAGUUUACCAGUCUUUUGUAUUACAUUUCUCCUGUCUAAAUCAACUGUGUGGUUUCUACUCAUUAUGGAUAUAGAUUGAUACAAACUCAAUAAAUAUUUUUGAAUGAAUAA
Gorilla gorilla gorilla (western lowland gorilla) is the source of this 904-nucleotide long non-coding RNA. RefSeq lists it as uncharacterized. The transcript has 2 exons. The record is from RefSeq and is a predicted model, not a curated record. Lineage: Eukaryota; Metazoa; Chordata; Mammalia; Primates; Hominidae.